CCUUGAAAUACCACCCUGGCAACUUUGAGGUUCUAACUCAGGUCCGUUAUCCGGAUCGAGGACAGUGUAUGGUGGGUAGUUUGACUGGGGCGGUCUCCUCCUAAAGAGUAACGGAGGAGUACGAAGGUGCGCUCAGACCGGUCGGAAAUCGGUCGUAGAGUAUAAAGGCAAAAGCGCGCUUGACUGCGAGACAGACACGUCGAGCAGGUACGAAAGUAGGUCUUAGUGAUCCGGUGGUUCUGUAUGGAAGGGCCAUCGCUCAACGGAUAAAAGGUACUCCGGGGAUAACAGGCUGAUACCGCCCAAGAGUUCAUAUCGACGGCGGUGUUUGGCACCUCGAUGUCGGCUCAUCACAUCCUGGGGCUGAAGCCGGUCCCAAGGGUAUGGCUGUUCGCCAUUUAAAGUGGUACGCGAGCUGGGUUUAGAACGUCGUGAGACAGUUCGGUCCCUAUCUGCCGUGGACGUUUGAGAUUUGAGAGGGGCUGCUCCUAGUACGAGAGGACCGGAGUGGACGAACCUCUGGUGUUCCGGUUGUCACGCCAGUGGCAUUGCCGGGUAGCUAUGUUCGGAAUAGAUAACCGCUGAAAGCAUCUAAGCGGGAAACUAGCCUCAAGAUGAGAUCUCACUGGAACCUUGAGUUCCCUGAAGGGCCGUCGAAGACUACGACGUUGAUAGGUUGGGUGUGUAAGCGCUGUGAGGCGUUGAGCUAACCAAUACUAAUUGCCCGUGAGGCUUGACCAU
This 741-nucleotide ribosomal RNA is filed under the name Pseudomonas fluorescens. Its description in RNAcentral is "partial 23S ribosomal RNA". It matches the Rfam family "Bacterial large subunit ribosomal RNA", at positions 2190 to 2925 of the family's 2925-position model. Lineage: Bacteria; Pseudomonadati; Pseudomonadota; Gammaproteobacteria; Pseudomonadales; Pseudomonadaceae. The record is from RNAcentral.